This is a long non-coding RNA of Lontra canadensis (Northern American river otter), 383 nucleotides long. RefSeq lists it as uncharacterized. NCBI's taxonomy places the organism in Eukaryota, Metazoa, Chordata, Mammalia, Carnivora, Mustelidae. The record is from RefSeq and is a predicted model, not a curated record. The transcript is spliced from 4 exons.
CGAGAGGAUCCAGGAAGAGGAACCCAAGGCAGAGAGGUCAAGCUUUGUCCCCAAGAUCUCUUGGCGUCCCAGAGAGGGAAGCCCCUUUGACAAUAACCGUCCUCACUCUGGAGCCGGGACGCGACUCCCGCGUGGAAAGUUCACAAGGGACCAGCCCCCUGGGAGCACUGUUCUGGGAGCACUAUUCUGACCACAACAGGUGGCGCAAAGUGAGUUUGACAGGAGCUUCAUGGCUCGAGAAUCCUGGCAGGUAUACAGGUGUCCCCCAAGUGACAGGCGACACCUGGAGACCUGACGGAGUGCCAGGCCCCACAGGGAGAUGCCCUGCGAGCUAGGUCUUCCAAGGAACCCCAGCCCAAGCUUAAAUCCAUCAUGACCUGAGC